GAUGAACGCUGGCGGCGUGCCUAAUACAUGCAAGUCGAGCGAACAGACGAGGAGCUUGCUCCUCUGACGUUAGCGGCGGACGGGUGAGUAACACGUGGAUAACCUACCUAUAAGACUGGGAUAACUUCGGGAAACCGGAGCUAAUACCGGAUGAUAUAUUGAACCGCAUGGUUCAAUAGUGAAAGACGGUUUUGCUGUCACUUAUAGAUGGAUCCGCGCCGCAUUAGCUAGUUGGUAAGGUAACGGCUUACCAAGGCAACGAUGCGUAGCCGACCUGAGAGGGUGAUCGGCCACACGGGAACUGAGACACGGUCCAGACUCCUACGGGAGGCAGCAGUAGGGAAUCUUCCGCAAUGGGCGAAAGCCUGACGGAGCAACGCCGCGUGAGUGAUGAAGGUCUUCGGAUCGUAAAACUCUGUUAUUAGGGAAGAACAAAUGUGUAAGUAACUAUGCACGUCUUGACGGUACCUAAUCAGAAAGCCACGGCUAACUACGUG
This 497-nucleotide ribosomal RNA is filed under the name uncultured bacterium. RNAcentral's name for it is "partial 16S ribosomal RNA". It matches the Rfam family "Bacterial small subunit ribosomal RNA", at positions 28 to 507 of the family's 1533-position model. The record is from RNAcentral.